This is a long non-coding RNA of Cajanus cajan (pigeon pea), 523 nucleotides long. RefSeq lists it as uncharacterized. NCBI's taxonomy places the organism in Eukaryota, Viridiplantae, Streptophyta, Magnoliopsida, Fabales, Fabaceae. The record is from RefSeq and is a predicted model, not a curated record.
UGAAACAAGUCAUUUCCUUAACAAACCUUUGUCUUUGCCUUUCUAAAGACCCUUGAUUAAAAUGAGCUCCAAGAACCCCAACAUUCAAAAGUCCAUUUGUCCUACAAGGCCCCCUCCAAAUGGCACUAGUUCAAAUUCUUCAAGCUCUGGGGGUAAGAAGGCCCCAACCGCGAAGGAUAUAUUUUAUCCCAAGAAUAGAUGAUUUCAAAUGAAAAGGUUUACGUGGAAGGGCCAAUAUUGGAAGCAUUAAUACUAAAAAGAACAGAAGCAUUUAUACCAAAUAGUCACUUUUCGUUACUUUAUAUUUGUUAUUUUCCUUGUUCCUGUACUUAGGGUUCCUAUAUGUCAUGCUUCCAAUAAUGGGGAUUAAAGUUGCACAGUUUAUAAUCUCUAUUUAUGUAGGGAAUACUGUGCUAUUAUUUAUUUUUUUAUUUGUGCUAGCUAUAGUACUACUCAUCAAAAUGUUGAGCAAUAAAGUGGUAUACAGAAUUUGAAAUGAAGUUAAUGUUUUUUUGUUCCUUAA